RNAcentral lists this microRNA precursor (216 nucleotides) under Medicago truncatula (barrel medic). RNAcentral describes it as "MIR2655 microRNA precursor family". It matches the Rfam family "MIR2655 microRNA precursor family". Lineage: Eukaryota; Viridiplantae; Streptophyta; Magnoliopsida; Fabales; Fabaceae. The record is from Rfam by way of RNAcentral.
CCCUUAACUAUUAAAAGUUUCGUUUUGGUUCCUUAACUUAUUUUUUGGUUUCGUUUUGGUCCCUUAACUCUAAUACAUUCAUUCUAACAUAAAGGACCAAAACAAAACCAAAAAAUAAGUUAAAGGACCAAAACAAAACUUUUAAUAGUUAAGGGACCAAAACGAAACCAAAAAGUAAGUUAAGGGACCAAAACAAAACUUUUAAUAGUUAAGGGA